RNAcentral lists this long non-coding RNA (1757 nucleotides) under Vigna radiata. RNAcentral's name for it is "long non-coding RNA (VRAD_LNC006414)". Lineage: Eukaryota; Viridiplantae; Streptophyta; Magnoliopsida; Fabales; Fabaceae. The record is from RNAcentral.
UAUUUUUCUGUGAUAUUUUUUUGUGUAGAUAUAAUAUCUGAGAGUUUGGAGGAGUUUCACUUGUUAGGGUCAUAUGAACUUGAACAAAUUUGAGAUUCCAUAGACAAAGUUUAUUUGUCUCUUAGGUAAGGGAAGUUAAUUACAUUGUUUUUAAGUUAUAAAGACUUUGAAAUUUAUAAUUGUAUGAUUUAUAUGGGAAAUUGACUGAAUGAUUGAUAAGUGUGAUGAGUGUGAUCAAUUGAAAUGUGAAAAUGUUGUCUGAUUUAUAUUUUAGAUGAAAUUGUUAAGUUAGUAAAGAUUGUGAAAUCUAAAAAUUUCGUGUUUUAGCAUAUGUGAUUUCAAUGUUUGAUUCUUGAAUUUUUGGCUUGUUUGAACUUGGUUUUGUGUGAUUUAGAGAGCUUAAAUUUGAGCAAUUGGUCAAGUGGUAUGAGCUUUCUUGUUUAAAAAUGUUUUGAACUCACACUAAGAAGUGAGUAUCGAUUUGAUCAAUUGAACAAAUAUAAGUUCCCUUAAAAGCAUAAAAUACAAGUGUUGAUAUAUAGUAUAACGUUAAACGAUGCUAGGGUGAUGUUAAACGUCCAAUUUUUCAAAUUGAAUAACAAUGAGUGGUGUCAGGGUGACAUUGAGCGCCUAAUUCUACAAAUGGUUUGGUGUUGAAUAGUGUCAAGGUUGCGUUGAGCGUCUUCUUUAUACUAUAGGUCUGGAGCAUUUUAGUUCCAAUACGCUAGGAGACAUAAAGGUCUCGAUGAUCACGACUUUUUGCAAGAAGAAUGGUGUUGAACACUAAGAGUGGUACUAAGUGCCACCUUUUGUAGGAAGAAUGGCAUCAGGCACCACCUUUGAGCCCAACUUGUAUGUUUGAUUUGUUUUUCUUCUUGGUUGUUUGCAUUGAUUUAAAUAAACUUUAAGUAUGUUUGUGACCAUGAUGACUAUGUGCGGAUAUGAUGAUUUUAAUGUGAAUAUGUUUGGAAAUGUCGUUGAGAGAAUUUCAAGAAGAAAUUCUAUGUGGUGGUAAUGUCGUUGAGAGAAUUUCAAGAAGAAAUUCUACCAACCAUUCAACUCAUAUAGAGAGGAAUGGAGGGGGGAGAGAAUGUCAGAAGGUUCUAGCCCCUGGACUAUUUUGGUCCUAGGUGCGAAAGGGACUAACCUUGUGAGUGAUAAGGUGAUAACCCCAUGUUUAUGACUUUGUAAAGCAUAAAAACUACUCCAAGUGCAUGCCUAUAGUGAAACCCGAUGUCAAAGGCACAUAAUCGAAUAAUUAAGUCUAGUGUCAACUAUUUAUAUAUAUAUAUAUAUAUAUAUAUAUAUAUAUAUAUAUAUAUAUAUAUAUAUAUAUAUAUAUAUAUAUAUUGUAUUUAAUCCAUGUUUAGCUUAUAUUUGAUAUGAUUUAAUUGUCUUAGGAUAACUCUUUUGCACAUUAGCUUACCCUAUCGUUUCUAUGGGUGUUUCUUGUGUCUUUUCAGUUUCUGACCUAGCUCGAACCUUGGCUUAUAAAUAGAGUUCUCCAUUUCUUAGAAGGCAACUUUUCAUUUGAGAGUAUUAGAGUUGCAUGCCUAAGGGAAACUUUGUGUGUGAAAAGGAAACUAAGCCAUUUGAGAAUACAGAAUAGUUCUGAGGAAGUUCUUAAAUCUUAGAGUGCUCAUAUCAAGUCUUGUGAACAGUAGAAGCUUGCGUUUAGUGUGUCUAAAGUCGAAACGGUUCUCUUUAAGUUUAUUGAGAAAAUUCUUCCAUCAUGUGUCGAAGGAAGGUGUUCUUCG